UGGCAACAAUGAUGACAGAUGUUCUACCUGCACGUAAUGUUCCAUUACUGCGUGGAGACACUAGUCCCUCUAAACUGAUGUUGCCA
Small nucleolar RNA from Nothoprocta perdicaria, 86 nucleotides. Ensembl annotates it as small nucleolar RNA, C/D box 127. The record is from Ensembl. NCBI's taxonomy places the organism in Eukaryota, Metazoa, Chordata, Aves, Tinamiformes, Tinamidae.